Molecule: long non-coding RNA, 1275 nt
Organism: Lutra lutra (Eurasian river otter)
Lineage: Eukaryota; Metazoa; Chordata; Mammalia; Carnivora; Mustelidae
Exons: 3
Source: RefSeq, a predicted model, not a curated record
CCCACUUCCCGGUACCCCGCCAAGGGAAACGUCGGAGCCGCCCGUGUAAGUCUCCAUGUCCCAGCAGGCCCACGUUUUAAGAAGUCAGGAGAAACGGGCACCGUUUGCAACGAUACACCUGGCGCAUUACUGUUUCGGCACGUGAAGCCCCUCGGGGUACUUUGCGUUCUGUUUCACUCCCUGAGGCUUUGAUGUUGGGGUGUCUCGCGCACACAGGGCAUGUCUCCGUUCCAAUGCCCCCGUCCCGGGUGCUCCGCAAGCACCCGUGGCCAGUGGCCUUCAGACAGGGUGCGCACGGCUCCAGACACGGCCAGCAUGCCCGCCCCUCGGAGGGCCUCUCGCCUCGCACGUGUGCAGACACGUGCUUUCUGCCCAAGUCCACACCCUGUUCCACGCAAGGGGCACCCUGGCGAACUCCUGCUCGUCCUCUGGACCCACUCGCCUGUCACGGCCCCUGGGAGGCCUCCUCUGGGUUCCGCAGGUAGAGCUUCCCGCCCCCGCCUAUCCAGCCACCCCCUCCCUCACCCCCUCAGUAUUUAUCACGAGUUUCUGUAGAGCCAGGGCACCCCGUGAGGCCCUGGGGGUGCAAAUGUGAGCCAGGCACCAUCAUGUCUGCGGGAAGAAACAGACAUCCCCCCCAUUUGUCCCGCUGCACCAGACCGACGUGCUUGCUCGCCCGUUUACCAUGACCUUGACUCUGAACCCAGCAGGAAGGUAUUGACCGAGUGGAAAACUAUGUCCUAGCACCGUGGACAGUUCCUGGCCCAGUGCAUGUGGCUGAACCGACCUGUGUGCGUCCCCAGGAAAGGACUUUGCGACAAGUUGGCAUUAAGUAACACGCGGGGUCCUUGCAGCCGCUCCCAGGGUAAACUGUCACUCACUUUAUCAUCUACCAAAUGGCAAAGGGUUUCAGCUGCGAAGCAGGCCAGCCUGAGUCUGUCAAAUUCCAGAGGCUGCUCUGAAAAUAAACCGCAACUGUGGGACACAUGAGCUGUGGAGCACGAGGAAAUGAGAAAACACAUGUCCGUGAUCUGCUGUCAGGACCCCGAGAGACAGCGGCCGCACGUUUGUUUCUCUGGGUGCCCUCUGGAAUGUCCCUUCUGCAACAAACAAACUCCCACACCCUCGGCUUCUUUGAGAAGUUCCCUGAACCCCAAGUCAGCAGACCAGCUUGACCGACCGCUUCCAGACUGCGUGUCCCCCAGAGGGAAGGCGGACUUGCGCUCCCACAGCCCGGAUGCCCUGUGGUCCAAGGCGGGUCUGCAUCUCCCUCAG